Molecule: ribosomal RNA, 1350 nt
Filed under: uncultured marine eukaryote
Lineage: Eukaryota
Description: SSU rRNA
Rfam family: Eukaryotic small subunit ribosomal RNA
Source: RNAcentral
CCUUCAAGGGAGGGAGCAGGCGCGCAAUUACCCAAUCCUGACUCAGGGAGGUAGUGACAAGAAAUAACAAUAAACCGGCUUAUGCCGGUUUAAUUGGAAUGAGUACAAUUUAAACAUCUUAACGAGGAACAAUUGGAGGGCAAGUCUGGUGCCAGCAGCCGCGGUAAUUCCAGCUCCAAUAGCGUAUACUAAAGUUGUUGCAGUUAAAAAGCUCGUAGUUGGAUUUCUGUGGGGACGGAGCGGCCGGCCGCACAUCGCGGUUCGAGCUAGCGCUUUCCCUACAUCCUGCCGCGAACCGUGCUACCAUUAAUUUGGUGGCGCUGGGGAUCGGCUCGAUUACUUUGAGAAAAAUAGAGUGUUCAAAGCAGGCCACAUGCCUUGAAUAAGUUAGCAUGGAAUAAUAACUAAGGACUUCGGUUCUAUUUUGUUGGUGUUCGGGACUGAAGUAAUGAUUGAUAGGGACAGUUGGGGCGGUCUGUAUUCCAAAGCGAGAGGUGAAAUUCUUAGACCUUCGGAAGACAAACAGCUGCGAAAGCGUUCCGCAAGGAUGUUCCCUUUGAUCAAGAACGAAAGUUGGGGGAUCGAAGACGAUCAGAUACCGUCGUAGUCUCAACUAUAAACUAUACCAGCUAGGGAUCGGCCAACGUUAUUUCAAACCGACUUGGUCGGCACCUUAUGAGAAAUCAAAGCAUCUGGGUUCCGGGGGGAGUAUGGUCGCAAGGCUGAAACUUAAAGGAAUUGACGGAAGGGCACCACCAGCCGUGGAGCCUGUGGCUUAAUUUGACUCAACACGGGAAAACUUACCAGGUCCAGACAUAGUAAGGAUUGACAGAUUGACAGCUCUUUCUUGAUUCUGUGGGUGGUGGUGCAUGGCCGUUCUUAGUUGGUGGAGUGAUUUGUCUGGUUAAUUCCGUUAACGAACGAGACCCCAGCCUGCUAAAUAGCGCGCGUGAGCUUUGCUCGCGGCGAGCUUCUUAGAGGGACUAUGAUGCGCGAUAGCACAUGGAAGUUUGGGGCAAUAACAGGUCUGUGAUGCCCUUAGAUGUUCUGGGCCGCACACGGGCUACACUGGCGCCUGCAACGAGCAUAUCAGCUGGUCCGAGAGGGUCUUGGCUAAUCUUUUGAACCGGCGCCGUGCUUGGGAUUGACCUUUGCAAUUGUUGGUCAUGCAACGAGGAAUGCCUUGUAAACGCGAGUCAUCAGCUCGCAUUGAAUACGUCCCUGCCCUUUGUACACACCGCCCGUCGCUCCUACCGAUGAAUGUUCCGAUGAAAUUUUCGGAGAGCACCUGUGAACUUGGCUCCGCCUUGCGAACGGGAGGCUCAAAGUCACUUAAAUCUGAACAUGGAG